AACGUAGGUACCGAGCGUUAUCCGGAUUUACUGGGCGUAAAGCGCGUUCAGGCGGUCCGGCAAGUCGGGCAUGAAAUCUCUCGGCUCAACCGGGAGAGGUUGUCCGAUACUGCCGGACUAGAGGGCAGUAGAGGGUGGUGGAAUUCCGGGUGUAGUGGUGAAAUGCGUAGAGAUCCGGAGGAACACCAGUGGCGAAAGCGGCCACCUGGACUGCACCUGACGCUCAAACGCGAAAGCUAGGGGAGCGAACGGG
RNAcentral lists this ribosomal RNA (253 nucleotides) under uncultured bacterium. Its description in RNAcentral is "partial 16S ribosomal RNA". It matches the Rfam family "Bacterial small subunit ribosomal RNA", at positions 524 to 776 of the family's 1533-position model. The record is from RNAcentral.